This 108-nucleotide small nuclear RNA is filed under the name Myotis brandtii (Brandt's bat). Lineage: Eukaryota; Metazoa; Chordata; Mammalia; Chiroptera; Vespertilionidae. The record is from RNAcentral.
GGGCUCGCUUCACCAGCACAUAUACUAAAAUUGGAAUGAUACAGAGAAGAUUAGCAUGGAAACCUACACAAAGAUGACACAUAAAUUUGUGAAGCAUUCCAUAUUUUU